CUGUCACCCCCACUCUGUCAGCAACGCCAUCUGAGCAGCUGAAGUCAAAGAAGCCUUCGACCCUGUCUACAUAACAACAGAGGUGUCUGUCAUGCGCAGUGUUCCUUGGUCCAUGUCAACAGUGUAAUGUCCAACAUCGACGCUUUGGGAUCAUCCCUCUCUGAUAUUUGACAAAUCAUUGAUGUAGCCUCUAUCACCACCUACAGGCUUGGACGGUGUGUUUUCCUGUUUGGCUGCUGAGAGUCAGAGGCCCUCAGUUGACAGAAAUGAGGAUAAAUAACUGGAUGUCAUUAGUGUCACCAGAGGACCUCAGCGAGAUAUUUCCCUCCUGCACACUGGUUAUUUCAGUCAGCCAUCCAGAUGAAGAAAUAAUUUCCCGAGGGACUGGGACACAAGAAAAACCUCAGUCGCCUGCACUGCAGCAGAACAGAUCAGGACCCCAAACACAAGAGGAUCUGAUUCACUUGAAAGCC
Molecule: long non-coding RNA, 473 nt
Organism: Epinephelus fuscoguttatus (brown-marbled grouper)
Lineage: Eukaryota; Metazoa; Chordata; Actinopteri; Perciformes; Serranidae
Exons: 3
Source: RefSeq, a predicted model, not a curated record